RNAcentral lists this ribosomal RNA (497 nucleotides) under uncultured bacterium. RNAcentral's name for it is "partial 16S ribosomal RNA". It matches the Rfam family "Bacterial small subunit ribosomal RNA", at positions 28 to 507 of the family's 1533-position model. The record is from RNAcentral.
GAUGAACGCUGGCGGCGUGCCUAAUACAUGCAAGUCGAGCGAACGGACGAGAAGCUUGCUUCUCUGAUGUUAGCGGCGGACGGGUGAGUAACACGUGGAUAACCUACCUAUAAGACUGGGAUAACUUCGGGAAACCGUAGCUAAUACCGGAUAAUAUUUUGAACCGCAUGGUUCAAAAGUGAAAGACGGUCUUGCUUUCACUUAUAGAGGGAUCCGCGCUGCAUUAGCUAGUUGGUAAGGUAACGGCUUACCAAGGCAACGAUGCAUAGCCGACCUGAGAGGGUGAUCGGCCACACUGGAACUGAGACACGGUCCAGACUCCUACGGGAGGCAGCAGUAGGGAAUCUUCCGCAAUGGGCGAAAGCCUGACGGAGCAACGCCGCGUGAGUGAUGAAGGUCUUCGGAUCGUAAAACUCUGUUAUUAGGGAAGAACAUAUGUGUAAGUAACUGUGCACAUCUUGACGGUACCUAAUCAGAAAGCCACGGCUAACUACGUG